Molecule: long non-coding RNA, 1135 nt
Organism: Ictalurus punctatus (channel catfish)
Lineage: Eukaryota; Metazoa; Chordata; Actinopteri; Siluriformes; Ictaluridae
Source: Ensembl
UGGGUCUCGGGAGGAUAGGCAAACAAUGACCAACUUCUUAUUUAAACAAGAUUAUAUAACUGGAAUAUUGCCAUAGUGAUGAUAGUUUAUGAAGUCAUAUGGGCGUGGAUGUCCCACCCCUUUUUGCUCUUUUUAAAACACAGCCUUAUCUGCUGGUGGCAUAUUUUGGAACACCAGAUCAUCCAGACUUAACUUGGAAACACAGUGAGUUUGCAUUCCAAAAUUAUUGGGAUUAUUCCCCAGUUACAUUUUUGCUAUUAUGCUAGGAUGCACUAUAAAUGUUCACUUCUUUGGACUACCAUUGAUUCUGACAAAUUUCCUGAUGCACAUGCAAUUAAUCAUGAUUUCUCCAGUGGUUAAUAUUUCGAAAUUCUGAAACAUAUCCUUUUUAAAGCAUUAUAACGCAUGCAUUAAAGCAUUAGUGUAGCAUUUAACCAACCAUUAUGAUACAUAUAUGUCAUGCUAAUUUGUUUAUUUACUUGUUUUGUUGGACAGUCCAUGAUGAAGAAGGCAGUGCUCGUGUGUUUUGCCCUGAUUGUGGUCAUUUCCGUGACCAAUGCCGCUGAAUGCAUAAGACAGAAGCAGAGCUUGGUGGCUUGUUAUGAUGCUGUAGAUAAGAAAACGUACGCAAAGGGAGUGAGAUGGGUUAACAGCGCAUGCCAGUUUUGCAAAUGCGACUUUGGAACUUCCGUCUGCUGUCCAGGAAUACGAGAUGGAUCCGGACAGUGCCAGCGUGUGAGCUGAGCGUGCCAGCAUGAGAAAAUGAAUCUGGAGAAUUACAGUGACAGAUCGGAGUCACUGUGUGGAUAAAUUUCGAUUAAUCAAUUAACAAUAAAGCAUUACUGAAGCAUUCAAUUUGUCUGUUUGUUUGUUCAUUUGUAAACGUGACUAAACACGUGGAAAAGAAAGUGUUCACGGGGCAGCAACCACCUAGAAUUUAUUAAGAAAAUGAAGGAAAAAGCUAAGGAUAUGACGGGAAAAGAAAGACAAUCAUGAAAAGGACAACAUUCUACAGCAAGUAAGAGAGCGGAAAUAAAGAAAUAUGAACAGAAUAAACUAAGUCAAUAAUUUGGAUGAACCCUUUUUCUUCCCUCAAUAUGGCACCGUAUCUCGUGGGAUGCGCACACUGUAAAUG